AUAAAGGUAGAUGACCG
This 17-nucleotide microRNA is filed under the name Corchorus olitorius. RNAcentral describes it as "bta-miR-9-". The record is from RNAcentral. Lineage: Eukaryota; Viridiplantae; Streptophyta; Magnoliopsida; Malvales; Malvaceae.